ACGAACGCUGGCGGCGUGCCUAAUACAUGCAAGUCAAGCGGAAUGAUGAAGAAGCUUGCUUCUUCUGAUUUUAGCGGCGGACGGGUGAGUAACACGUGGGCAACCUACCUUGUAGAUUGGGAUAACUCCGGGAAACCGGGGCUAAUACCGAAUAAUCCAUUUUGCUUCAUGGCGAGAUGUUGAAAGACGGUUUCGGCUGUCACUACAAGAUGGGCCCGCGGCGCAUUAGCUAGUUGGUAGGGUAAUGGCCUACCAAGGCGACGAUGCGUAGCCGACCUGAGAGGGUGAUCGGCCACACUGGGACUGAGACACGGCCCAGACUCCUACGGGAGGCAGCAGUAGGGAAUCUUCCACAAUGGACGAAAGUCUGAUGGAGCAACGCCGCGUGAGUGAAGAAGGUUUUCGGAUCGUAAAACUCUGUUGUAAGGGAAGAACACGUACGAGAGUAACUGCUCGUACCUUGACGGUACCUUAUUAGAAAGCCACGGCUAACUACGUG
This 499-nucleotide ribosomal RNA is filed under the name uncultured bacterium. Its description in RNAcentral is "bacterial SSU rRNA". It matches the Rfam family "Bacterial small subunit ribosomal RNA", at positions 29 to 507 of the family's 1533-position model. The record is from RNAcentral.